Paramormyrops kingsleyae is the source of this 287-nucleotide long non-coding RNA. RefSeq lists it as uncharacterized. The record is from RefSeq and is a predicted model, not a curated record. Lineage: Eukaryota; Metazoa; Chordata; Actinopteri; Osteoglossiformes; Mormyridae.
GGACUGUCUUUCCAGGUCCCUUGAAGUCCGUUAUGACUGGAUUGUACUGUUCAGGAGGAUCAAGUCACAUGUGCGUCCAACCGGAUCACCGCAGAGCCAAUGUGGGAGCAUGAAUCCUUCUGCUGAAACACGGAUGCAGCCAAUCAGGACCAGACUGUGACAUUCAGCAGGCAUGACUCCCGCAUGACUCACAGAGGUCCGACACGGCGCUGUCCUGCAAUCGCUCGGAUUACUGCGACUCCGGGAGGCACAGAGCCGACGGAGGGCAAGAAGACCUGUUUGUCCUG